Long non-coding RNA from Orcinus orca (killer whale), 5022 nucleotides. RefSeq lists it as uncharacterized. The record is from RefSeq and is a predicted model, not a curated record. The transcript has 3 exons. Lineage: Eukaryota; Metazoa; Chordata; Mammalia; Artiodactyla; Delphinidae.
AGAAUCGUCCCGCGUUACAGGAGCGCUUGUCCGCCUGCAGAGUCAUCUCCCUGCAGCCCACUGCCUGGCCUCCCUCCUCCGGUGCCCGGGCCCACCACCUGCCGGGCCCUCACGGAGGAGGGCUGGGGAGCACCCAGACGACAGGGUGUGAGCUGCCCGGCGGCGUGGGGAGGCUGGCUGGGAGCCACGACUCCUUGCUUGGGAAGCUGGGAGCAAGCACCGGCAGCUCCCCUGACGCAGGCGGGGGCUGAGUGCUGCCUCCGCCGGGCUCUAGCUGCGGCUGCCACGCCAGCCCCACCCCAUGAGCCUCCUCAGGCCUGGGGGCGGGGAAAGGCCUUGCGCGUGCGCAGUGCACUCUUCCCGGGAGUCCGGAGCCCGCACCCUGGGCCUGGCCUCCAGGUGAGGCCGGGCAGCCUCGCCUGGCUCUGGAAGAGGAGGCUCCCGGGGCGGGGCGGCAGCUCCCUGGGCGAGGCCAGGCCUGGGGGACGGGUGGGUCCGCUAGCUGCAGCAUUCAGCAAACGACAAAGGCACACCUCUCUUACCUGGAACAGGAACCAGCCGGCUUCUCCCACUGCAGGGGGCAGGCCAGCACCGUCCCACCGGCGAAGGAACAGAGGGGCCCAGGCAGGGCCCCGCCCCAGGGGCUGAUGGGAGCUUGACAGUGCCUGUGAUGCUGCAAGGACGUGCCAACACGGACCAACUCCCUAAUCAUUAAAAACAAAACCAAACCAACUUCUCAGGAAGGAGUUUGAAAACGGGGAGUAGGUGAGCCAGACCCCUGUCCUCCUCUGUCCUGUGAGCCCCGCUGCUUCCGGGUACUGCUGCCCUCAGCUGCCACCAGCAGGAGUGAAGGGGGCCCGUGGGAGCUGGUCAUGACCUGACCUCGGAUUAGCAGCGUUCAAAGUGCAUUCACACUCAUGACCCCGGAGGUAGGCAGGACCGCAGUAUUGGCCAUUCGAGGAAAGUCCAAGACCCGGGAUGGUUAGGUGAGGUGCCUGAGGUCCCCCAGCGGGCAGGGGCAGCCUUCAAGUCAGUGCAGUUUGUUUUCACCAGGUAUCUGCCACACUUUCGUCCCCCACCCCAGCUCCCUGGCUCCUGUCACUGCAGCUGCAGGGCCUGGGAGAGCUGCCCCUGUGGCCAGGGCCCCUCUGCCUCUGAGGUUCGCUGGACAAUGACGCCCAGUCCUCGCUCCAGCCGGCCUUCUGGGCCUCCCACUGUCCCCAGGGGCUGGAGCAUCUCCCAGAGGCUGGUGGCCAGGGACCCGACAGGACACUCUAGGUGGGAGCCUGAUGCCUGGGCCCGGUCCAGCCGUGGGCAGAGCAGCCUCAGAGGCCCCUCUCCAGGCCGCCUGACCUCUCCCGCAGCACCACCCGCUGGCCCUACGGCCCCUCCCUGGCCCAGAGCAGCUGCGCCAGACUCUCUGCAGAGACCACGGCCCGUACCCGCUUGGUCAGCCCCAUGGCUUCUCCGGCCAGUGCCACCCAAAGCUGGGUCAGCUCCUGCUCCAGGAUGCCCAGGCCACGGCCCUCUAACCCGACAAGUAAGAGGGUCCCUUUCCUAUUUGAGAAAGCCCCCAUCGCUGCUGCCCUCCUGGCUAUAUAUCAUGACAACAGCCAUCCAUCACAUUAUUAUCAGUGGUAAUAUUACUGCUAAGCCCCCAGAGUAAUUCUGACAUGCACUGAAAUUUGGGAACUAACCCUGCCCUCACCCAGGACCGGUGACAUACUCGCGGGUCCCGUGCAAAAUGCAAACGGGAAGCCCCUUGUUUAAAAAUUAAGAAUUUCAGGAUGGCAAGGGCAGAGCCUUAAGCCACGUGAGAACCCUUCCAAGCGGGGUCUCUGGCGGCCACAGCUCACGCUGCCCCCCACUCAUUCUGAGCCCCUACGGGUCCCAUCUUCCAGCCCCCCCGCACCCCCCCCCCACCAUUCUCAGCAGGGGGUUCCGAGGACUCACGAAAGGUGGGGUGUCUCCAGUCACAUGACGACACCCUUGGUCGUUGCCAUUGGUUGGCUGCGGCCGUGUUUUCACAGCCAAUGAGGGGAAAGAGAGGGAGGCGUGGGCGUGGCCUGGCGCGGAGGGGCGCUGGAGGGCAGGGCGGAGACCAGCGCACCUGGGCUGCUAGGACCUGUGCCCGCCCGGUAUAAGUCACCGUUGUCUUGUCCUCUCUUUCGUUUCCUCUCUCACCACAGUAGACUGUCCCCAACGAUCCUAUCUUAUCUUUUAUGACUCAGUGCAGACGUGAGAAGGCCUUUCCUGUGCUUUGGAAAUUAUGUACGAGUAAAAGGCAAUAUAAUGUAGCUUAAGAGGUAGACACGGGAGACAGCUCACCCACCUUAAAAUUGGGAACAGAGAACAUACAACUCAGUUGAAUAAAUCUGCAAUGUUUGUGACCUAAAUUAACGCAUUCAACAGCGCUCUUUCGAGUACAAUGUUUUACAUAUAAAGAUCAGUAAAGGUGAGUCGGGGGAGGGGAGGGGAGAAAUGAGAGGGGUGUGUGUGUGUCCGAGAGAGGAAUUCUAUUCAAAUGCUUUGUGCAACAGUUUAUUACCUUUACUUAUUUUGUUAAAUGUACAAACCAGAGUGUACAAAAAAGUAUUUUUUUUUCUGGUUUAAAGAAUGAUAAAACAUAAACUCCAUGUUACCUACCCAAGUUAAGAAAUAGAUCACCGUGGUUUCCCUGAGGCCUCGCCUUAGCUGAGCUGCAACUUUUCUUUCUCCUCUCGCCAGCUCUGCCUCCAGGACAGAGCUGUGUUGCGCCGCUGUGUGUGUCCAUCCUUACAGGGCAGCAGGCUGACUGCCUGGUGUUGACCCGGAUGUAAAUGGAUGGACACACACUGUGUGUAGCUUAUGUCAUUUGCUUCUUUCGAUCAAACUCUUUUUGAGAUACCUCCACGCUAAUGACUAGAGCAGUUGUUACUCGUUUUUGAAACUUUAUUCUAUUUCUUUUUCUAUCCAUUCUACUGCUGGUGCAUAUUGCAUUGUUUCCAGCUUGUGGCUAUUGUAACAGUCACGAUGCUGCUAUGAAAUCUUUCCCCCAAGGCACACGUACAAAAGUUUCUUGUCUAGACUAUAGCCUAGGCGUGGAAUUGCUGGGUCAAAGCAUAUCAUUCCUGGGAUGGUCAGUUUUCUGUGUCAACUUGGCUGGGAUAAGGGAGGCCCAGAUGGCUGGUGAAACAUGGCUUCUGGGUGUGUCUGUGAGGUUGUUUCCAGAAGAGGUUAGCACUGGAAUCUGUAAAGGUGGUCCUCAUCAGGGAGGGUGGGCAUCACCUAACCCCCUGAGGGUCUGAAUGGAACGGAGAGGCGGAGGCAGGGCGAGUUUGCUUGAGUUGGGACCUCCAUCUUCUGCCCUGAGAGAGGGAUGACCCUGCUUCUCGGGCCUUCGGGUCACACCAGGACGGACACUGUUGACUCCCCAGGUCCCAGUUCCUGGGCCUCAGGUCUGUACUGGAAGUACCUCUGGCUUCCCUGGGCCUCCAGCCUGCAGACUGCAGACUGUGGGAUUGACCGGUCUCCACAGCCCCUCAGAGUAAAUCUCUUUCUAUUCAUCCACAUGUAACCUAUUGGUUCUGUUUCUCCAGAGAACCCUCACUGAUGUAAUUCCCACACUCCACCUGCUCAGGUAAUGGCUUUCUCCCAUUCACACCCCUAUUAGCCGUUGGCGAGAGUCCACAGUCUCACCAGAAUUUGGGCGGACUGUUAGUUUUCACUAGUCUGAUAAAGUGACCCAUUAUACAAUUAUGGUUUAAAUAUUACAAAUUGGGGUUUAGAGGUUAGGGUUACAAAUGAGGCUGAACAUUUGUCCAUAUAUUUCUGAGCCAAUAUUUGUAUUACCUGUUCUUGGAAAGGUCUGUUUGCGUCUUUUCCUCAUUUUUCUCUUGAGAUGUUUGUUUUCUCAUUGAUUUGAAGGGGUUUUUAGAGACACGAAUCACGGACAGUAACUGACCUGAUCGGGCAGCAGAUCCCUCGCCCAUUCUGUGGCUUAUUCUGUCCCGUUCUUUAUUGACUUUUGGUAAAACAUGUUGAAUUUUAAUACAGUCAAAUUAAUCUGUUUUCUUCUAUGGCUUUGCUUUUGACAUCUUAGGAAAUCCUUUCCUACCUCAAAGUAAUACAGAUAUUUUCCUAUUCUAGCAUGUUCUAAGAUUUAUAGCUUUGCCACUUCUAUAUAAAUUUUUAAUACACCUGGAAUUCAUUUUCAUGUAUAGAAUAAGGUAGGAGUUCAAUUCCACUUGCAUAACCAAUUGUCCCAGAACAACUUAUGAAAUAGUUCAUCCCCUCUUGUUGGUUUAUGGUGCCCACUGUGUCAUAAGUCAAGUUUCCAAAUAGGCCUGGGUUUAUUCUUCCUGGUCCCGCGUGUGUUUCCUGAUGCGUCCAAAGUACGCUGUUUUAGUUAUCAAUACUGUAGUGAUACUGAGCCUUGAUAUCUGAUAGGGCAAAUUUCCUCCUCUCUUUUUUAUUCUUCUUCAGGAAUUCCCUGACAUUUUUUUGGACUCUUUGUUCACCCACAUACAUUUUAGAGUCACUUUGUCAAUUUAUGUGAAAAGCCCUGUUGGAAUUUUUUUUGAAAAUGUAUUGAAUCUGUAGAUGAAUUUGGAGCAAACUGAUAUCUUUGUAGUAUUAUCUUCCUAUCCAGGGAUGCAGUCUGUCCAUUUACUUAUGCCAUUUAAAAUUUCUUUCAAUGGACUUCCCUGGUGGUCCAGUGGUUAAGAAUCCGCCUGCCAGUGCAGGCGACACGGGUUUGAGCCCUGGUCCGGGAAGACCCCACAUGCAGCAGAGCAACUAAGCCUGUGCACCACAACAACUGAGGCUGUGCUCUAGAGCCCGCGAGCCACAACUACUGAGCCCACGUGCUGCAACUACUGAAGCCCGGGCGCCUAGAGCCCGUGCUCCGCAACAAGAGAAGCCACCGCAAUGAGAAGCCCGCACACCGCAACGAACAGCGGCCCCCGCUCGCCGCAACCAGAGAAAGCCCGCGCGCAGCAACAAAGACCCAACGCAGCUAAAAAUAAAUAAAUAAAAAAUAAA